This 1217-nucleotide long non-coding RNA is filed under the name Citrus maxima (pomelo). RNAcentral describes it as "long non-coding RNA (CMAX_LNC001210)". The record is from RNAcentral. Lineage: Eukaryota; Viridiplantae; Streptophyta; Magnoliopsida; Sapindales; Rutaceae.
UUUGUAAAACGUUUGAACACCUUCGGGUACUGAACUGGGGUUCUGCGGUUCUCGACCAAUUUCCACCCGGAUUAGAAAAUUUAUUCCUUUUGAAGUAUUUGCAAUUGAAUAUCCCUUCGCUCAAAUGCCUUCCUUCGCUGCUAUGCACCCUUUUAAACCUUCAAACACUAGAAAUGCCAUCUAGCUACAUAGAUCAUUCACCAGAGGGUAUUUGGAUGAUGCAAAAACUCAUGCAUCUGAACUUCGGUUGCAUCACUCUGCCUGCACCUCCCAAAAAUUAUUCCAGUUCUCUGAAAAAUCUCAUUUUCAUAUCAGCCUUACACCCUAGUAGUUGUACUCCAGAUAUAUUGGGCAGACUACCUAAUGUGCAAAGUCUUAGAAUAUCUGGGGAUUUGAGUCACUAUCAUUCCGGGGUUUCCAAAAGCCUGUGCGAACUACACAAACUUGAAUGCCUGAAAUUGGUGAAUGAAAGCAAGCUCUCACGGAUGGUCCUGUCUGAAUACCAAUUUCCUCCAAGUCUGGUCCAACUGAGCUUAUCAAAUACUGAGCUAAUGGAGGAUCCCAUGCCAAUACUGGAGAGGCUUCCGCGUCUUCAAGUGCUGAAACUGAAGCGAAACUCGUAUUUAGGAAGAAAGUUGGCCUGCGUUGGCUCUGGUGGCUUUCCAGAACUUAAGGUUUUGCACCUGAAAUCAAUGUAUUGGCUAGAUGAGUGGACGAUGGCGGCAGGAGCAAUGCCAAAACUUGAAAGCUUAAUUGUCAACCCAUGUGCUUACUUGAGAAAGCUCCCAGAAGAGCUGUGGUGCAUAAAGAGCUUGCGCAAAUUGGAUUUACAUUGGCCUCAGACAGAGUUGAGACAGAGGCUACGGACUUUCGAGGAUAUGGAGUGGCGGUAUGACAUCCAGUUAUAUCCUUACGGAAUCUGAUGGAUGGAAUUGGGUGAGUUUUAAUCAUAUCUGAACUGGGGUUCUGCAGUUCUCGAUCAAUAUCCACCCGGAUUAGAAAAUUUAUUCUAUUUGAAGUACUUGAAAUUGAAUAUCCCUUCGCUCAAAUGUCUUCCUUUUAAACCUUCAAACACUAGAAAUGCCAUCUAGCUACAUAGAUCAUUCACCAGAGGAUAUUUGGAUGAUGCAAAAACUCAUCCAUCUGAACUUUGGUUCCAUCACUCUGCCUGCACCUCCAAAAAAUUAUUACCGCUCUCUGAAAAAUCUCAUUUUCAU